RNAcentral lists this long non-coding RNA (326 nucleotides) under Elaeis guineensis (African oil palm). Its description in RNAcentral is "long non-coding RNA (EGUI_LNC000081)". The record is from RNAcentral. Lineage: Eukaryota; Viridiplantae; Streptophyta; Magnoliopsida; Arecales; Arecaceae.
CAUGGAGGAAGCGGCGGAGGAGGUUGAAGAGGAGGCCGUCGGAGAGAAAGAUGACGGAGCUAAGGUAAAGUCUAUCCGUAUCCUCUCUCGUUCUUUUUUUUCUCGAUAAACCUUCUAAUAGUUAGAAUCUGACAAAGAAUCGUCGAAAAUAGAUCAUGAAAAUCGAAACUUCUUGUUUUUCUUUCUAUUGCUCGUCUAGCUAGCACCCUCAUCGGUCUUACCAUCCGCUGGGUGGCUUCCCGCCCCUUACCCGAGUUCCCAUGGCCGGUGGCCUCACCGACCACAGCCACCGUCGAGCCAUCUAUCUUUUUCAUGGAGCGGACAAG